ACAGUCCAUCACAACUGUCUCAGCUGACCUAGAUGUGUCGGCAUUGUUUAGUGACUUGUCUUUUAAGGAAUGAGAAUAUUGAUACCACUCUCACAUGUGUCUGUUAAAUAUAAGGCUACAGCCAGUAGCUGGUUAGCAAAGACUCAAAAUGGGAGACUGGCUAGCCUGGAUCUGUAAAGAUCGUUACGCGGCGGACAGUGUUUUGGCCUGGCACAGUAAUCUGCAGUCUCAGGGCAAAGAAAUAUUCCAGCAUAUUCCCACCUAGCCGUUCCCAGUCUUUAACAGACAUGAUGGACAAUAAUAGAGAACAGCUAAUGAAAGAGAAUAUUUCUAUACGUGAUAGAAGGUACUUCUUUUGACGUGAGGUAUUUUUUAAAAGAUGUUGCUGAUUUCCGUAGAAAUGCUGAAAACUACAAACGUAUCCUUAAAAGUCAUUCAUUUUGAUUAUUGCUUCUACUCCUGUCGC
Micropterus dolomieu (smallmouth bass) is the source of this 466-nucleotide long non-coding RNA. RefSeq lists it as uncharacterized. The record is from RefSeq and is a predicted model, not a curated record. NCBI's taxonomy places the organism in Eukaryota, Metazoa, Chordata, Actinopteri, Centrarchiformes, Centrarchidae. The transcript has 3 exons.